This 261-nucleotide unclassified non-coding RNA is filed under the name Hevea brasiliensis (rubber tree). Lineage: Eukaryota; Viridiplantae; Streptophyta; Magnoliopsida; Malpighiales; Euphorbiaceae. The record is from RNAcentral.
ACCACUAAUCACAGAGCCGAUAGUUUAUUAUCCCCUACACUAAUCUACUUGUAAACAACAACAUCACCAAAUUUUGCUUCAUAAAGAAUUCAGAUACCAAAAAUUAGAGUAGUACCCUAUAAUCCAAGGUAAACGAACUCCUGGAUGGCAGGAAUUUCCCCAAUCCUUUUCAGUGACUCCUUGCUGGGUUGUUCAUCCACCCCAAUAGCCAUAACAGCUUGCUUUCUAGGAGCAACUCUUCCAACGCUCAUGAAGCUGACA